RNAcentral lists this ribosomal RNA (253 nucleotides) under uncultured bacterium. Its description in RNAcentral is "partial 16S ribosomal RNA". It matches the Rfam family "Bacterial small subunit ribosomal RNA", at positions 524 to 776 of the family's 1533-position model. The record is from RNAcentral.
UACGUAGGGUGCGAGCGUUAAUCGGAAUUACUGGGCGUAAAGGGUGCGCAGGCGGCGUCGCAAGUCAGGCGUGAAAUCCCUGGGCUUAACCUGGGAACUGCACUUGAAACUACGAUGCUGGAGUAUGGCAGAGGGAGGUGGAAUUCCACGUGUAGCGGUGAAAUGCGUAGAGAUGUGGAGGAACACCGAUGGCGAAGGCAGCCUCCUGGGCCAAUACUGACGCUCAUGCACGAAAGCGUGGGGAGCAAACAGG